This is an RNA transcript of Cercocebus atys (sooty mangabey), 1650 nucleotides long. RefSeq lists it as uncharacterized. Lineage: Eukaryota; Metazoa; Chordata; Mammalia; Primates; Cercopithecidae. The transcript is spliced from 2 exons. The record is from RefSeq and is a predicted model, not a curated record.
AAUAAAGAAAAAAGGAUUUACUGGACUGUAAGAUGAGCUAUAAAGGAAGUUUGUAUAAAACAGGAAUUAGGAAAAUAAAACAUGCUGCCCAUCCAGGGUAAUAUGUAGAAAAAAGUAUUUGAAUUGAUCUUAUUUUUUCUCUCACAAUUUAGUCUUACGAAGGUCAUUUCUUAUAACAAUAUUUACCACAAUUCUUGAUUAUUUCAGGAGAGUGUUAAUCCACAUAUUUCAUAUAUUCUAAUAGUAAAAAUUAUUACAUUUAUAAUACGUAACAUGUAUGUUCUUAUUACUUUACAUGGCUUGAUGGACUUUCAUCUAAAUUAAUUCAUUGGUUAAUAAAGACUCUUUUGUCAGAACACAUUCUCGUUUUGGGGGUUCAAAAUGUGGACGCUCAUUCUGUGAUCCUCUCCAGGCUCGAAUUAGUAUUACAGUUGAGGCACGUUGUCGUCCCGAGGAGGCCCCUCCAUUUCCUUCUCACAGGAUCUUUGACAUUCUUUACUACAUCCAGAAUUAUUAGAAAACAUCCCUCAGGUUAUGGAAUAAUGACCUUUCUUUUUUCCUUUCACUUCACCCCUUUCCACCCCGGUUCUCAGCCAGGUUUAAGCCGGCGAAUGGGGCUUCCUGUCACAGAACGCUGUUUAAAAACUCAGUAGCAUCUGGGCGUGAGCAGGCUUUGUUGAGUGAAGUUGAUUGGUUGCAGGAGCAGCAACAGUUCCAGGACCAAGUCAUGACACCCACCUCCUCAAGGUUUAGUUAAAUAUAUCUUGUGGUGAAAAUGUCCGGAGCAAGAAGGCAAAGCAUCAUAAAGAGGAUAUUGGGAGCUCUGCUGGGGCUCUUGAGUGCCCAGGUUUGCUGUGUGAGAGGAAUACAAGUGGAGCAGAGUCCUCCAGACCUGAUUCUCCAGGAGGGAGCCAAUUCCCACGCUGCGUGCAAUUUUCUGCCACUGUGAACAAUUUGCAGUGGUUCCACCAAAACCUUGGGGACAGCUCAUCAACCUGUUUUACAUCUCCUCAGGGACAAAACAGAAUGGAAGAUUUAAGCGCCACGACUGUCACUACGGAACGCUACAGCUUAUUGCACAUUUCCUCUUCCCAGACCACAGACUCAGGCAUUUAUUUCUGUGCUGUGGAGUCACAGUGCUCCCCAGGCACCUGCAGCCUGUACACAAACCCUCAGCUGGGCUCAGUUCUUCUACCAGAAACAACCACAUCAUGAGGCCACCACAGCAGCAUUUGCACAGCUUAAUAUUCCUUUUGUACAUAGGUAGAGUUUUAACCACAGAUUCUUUUUGGCUCUACAGGUUUGAGACUUUGGUCUUUAUUUUCCCUUUUCAAUACACACCUCCUCCUACCCUGUAAAUAUCGAGCUUGGAAGGAGUAGAGUAGCUGAUGAGAGGACAGAAUCAAAAUAAAUAUUUAAGUGACAGUAUGCAGGACUCCAAAAGGGUAAAAAGUAAAAAGAAUAACAAGAAAAGAAACACCAUUCCAAUAAGCAUGUUGUUAGAUGUAUUAGACCACGAUCCAGCUUAGUUGCGUGUCUCAAGCACAUACAAGUCUCCCUCACUACAUUAUGUUCCAGCAGACAAGGGCAAAUAUUUGCAUCCUAUCCCACUAGUGCAGCAAAGUAAAACUUCUUUGAAUAUUAACAUAU